Molecule: ribosomal RNA, 898 nt
Filed under: Cytobacillus firmus
Lineage: Bacteria; Bacillati; Bacillota; Bacilli; Caryophanales; Bacillaceae
Description: bacterial SSU rRNA
Rfam family: Bacterial small subunit ribosomal RNA
Source: RNAcentral
GGAGCUUGCUCCCUGAAGUCAGCGGCGGACGGGUGAGUAACACGUGGGCAACCUGCCUGUAAGACUGGGAUAACUCCGGGAAACCGGGGCUAAUACCGGAUAACUCUUUUCCUCACAUGAGGAAAAGCUGAAAGAUGGUUUCGGCUAUCACUUACAGAUGGGCCCGCGGCGCAUUAGCUAGUUGGUGAGGUAACGGCUCACCAAGGCCACGAUGCGUAGCCGACCUGAGAGGGUGAUCGGCCACACUGGGACUGAGACACGGCCCAGACUCCUACGGGAGGCAGCAGUAGGGAAUCUUCCGCAAUGGACGAAAGUCUGACGGAGCAACGCCGCGUGAGUGAUGAAGGUUUUCGGAUCGUAAAACUCUGUUGUCAGGGAAGAACAAGUACCGGAGUAACUGCCGGUACCUUGACGGUACCUGACCAGAAAGCCACGGCUAACUACGUGCCAGCAGCCGCGGUAAUACGUAGGUGGCAAGCGUUGUCCGGAAUUAUUGGGCGUAAAGCGCGCGCAGGCGGUUCCUUAAGUCUGAUGUGAAAGCCCCCGGCUCAACCGGGGAGGGUCAUUGGAAACUGGGGAACUUGAGUGCAGAAGAGAAGAGUGGAAUUCCACGUGUAGCGGUGAAAUGCGUAGAGAUGUGGAGGAACACCAGUGGCGAAGGCGACUCUUUGGUCUGUAACUGACGCUGAGGCGCGAAAGCGUGGGGAGCAAACAGGAUUAGAUACCCUGGUAGUCCACGCCGUAAACGAUGAGUGCUAAGUGUUAGAGGGUUUCCGCCCUUUAGUGCUGCAGCAAACGCAUUAAGCACUCCGCCUGGGGAGUACGGCCGCAAGGCUGAAACUCAAAGGAAUUGACGGGGGCCCGCACAAGCGGUGAGCAUGUGGUUUAAUUCGAAGCA